GACGAACGCUGGCGGCGUGCCUAAUACAUGCAAGUCGAACGCUGAAGAGAGGAGCUUACUCUUCUUGGAUGAGUUGCGAACGGGUGAGUAACGCGUAGGUAACCUGCCUUGUAGCGGGGGAUAACUAUUGGAAACGAUAGCUAAUACCGCAUAACAAUGGAUGACACAUGUCAUUUAUUUGAAAGGGGCAAUUGCUCCACUACAAGAUGGACCUGCGUUGUAUUAGCUAGUAGGUGAGGUAAUGGCUCACCUAGGCGAGGAUACAUAGCCGACCUGAGAGGGUGAGCUGCCAACCUGAGACGGUGACACGGCCCAGACUCCUAGGGGAGGGAGCAGUAGGGAAUCUUCGGCAAGGGGGGCAACCCUGACCGAGCCACGCCGCGGGAGGGAAGAAGGUUUUCGGAUCGUAAAGCUCGGUUGUAAGUCAAGAACGGGUGUGAGAGUGGAAAGUUCACACUGUGACGGUAGCUGACCAGAAAGGGACGGCUAACUACGUG
Molecule: ribosomal RNA, 497 nt
Filed under: uncultured bacterium
Lineage: Bacteria
Description: partial 16S ribosomal RNA
Rfam family: Bacterial small subunit ribosomal RNA
Source: RNAcentral